CCUACGGGCGGCAGCAGUGAGGAAUAUUGGUCAAUGGCCGGAAGGCUGAACCAGCCAUGCCGCGUGAAGGUUAGUGCUCUACGGGCGUUAAACUUCUUUCGUGCGGGAGCAAUAAUGGUUACGCGUGUCCACACGAGAGUACCGUACGAAUAAGCAUCGGCUCACUCCGUGCCAGCAGCCGCGGUAAUACGGGGGAUGCAAGGGGUAUCCGGAUUUAGUGGGUUAAAGGGGUGCGCAGGCGGCCUGUUAAGUCAGCGGUAAAAGCCCGGGGCUCAACCCCGGCGGGCCGUUGAACCUGGCGGGCUGGAGUUGGAGAGAGGUACGCGGAAUGCGCGGUGUAGCGGUGAAAUGCUUAGAUAUCGGGCAGAACCCCGAUUGCGAAGGCAGCGUACCGGCACCACACUGACGCUGAGGCGCGAAAGCGUGGGUAUCGAACAGGAUUAGAUACCCGUGUAGUC
This 458-nucleotide ribosomal RNA is filed under the name uncultured bacterium. Its description in RNAcentral is "partial 16S ribosomal RNA". It matches the Rfam family "Bacterial small subunit ribosomal RNA", at positions 338 to 795 of the family's 1533-position model. The record is from RNAcentral.